GGCCCAUAGCCUAUCGCCAUGGCCCACAGCACCCACCAGUGCGACACUGUUCCGUUCUACUCUCACGGCCGCCACAGCCACCGCCGGGCAGCGCCACCUCGCCGUUCAGUUCUACGGGCGUGCCAUUGACGGCAGCUUCCAGCGCGUUCGAAUCGGCCCGUGGUCGGGAUGGAGCUGUUCCUUCUUCCGCGCGCGACCGGCCGCUGGACGCAGGGCAGUGCGCAGCCGAGCCCGAGCGCUCUUCUCCUCCGCAACCUUCAGCGGCGACGCCUCCCGCUGCGCCCGCCCUCCUCCAAGCAAUCAGUAACUUACAAGGAAUUUGCUGAACCAACUGAAUUAGAUAAUUUGUCUAUUCUGUUCUGCGGCAAUGGUAUUUCUUCAUGAUGGUAAUUGAGGAUGUUAACGUCUUCUAGAGAAGGAAAAAAGAUGAUCAAAUUCCAGGUUCUAGAGUUCACUUUGUUUAAUUUAUGAAUGAGGCAUGUCUUCUCUUUGAUUGAUCUGUUACAUUUUGUUCCUUAAGAUAAUCAUUCCAUGCUGCUACUAUCAGUACCUACCGUUUCCUCAAAUGUAACCGUGUUUGUUUCACUGUUCUGCAGAUUUCUUAUGUGUUAAUUAGUCAGCUACUCCUACAAAACAAAACUUCUUCAGAUGCACAUUCAGAUUUCCUGAAGAAUGUUGACGAGUGUUCCCUCAAAAACUAAAAAGAAUGUUGAGGAGCACCCAGUGGGAAGGCCCUUGGUUUAAUUGCACGUAACUUAUACCACCGGAUUUUUUAGCAUUCUUAAGAGUUCCCUGAGACUAUGCUCAUAGCCAGGCCCUUGGUUUUGUUGCCAUUUAUUAUCUGCAGUCCAAGAACACACAUUUCCGAGUUCACUGAGACUAUCCUCAUAGCCAGGCCCUUGGUUUUGUUGCCAUUUACUAUCUGCACUCCAAAAACACAUAUUUCAGAGUUCCCUGAGACUAUGCUUAUGGCCAGGCCCCCCGUUUUUUUUUUUUUUUUGCCAUUUACUAUCUGAAGGCCAAGAACACAUAUUUCAGAGUUCCCUAAUACACAGCGCAGCGGAGCCCAACGCCGAGUGCUCUUCUACCCCUCAACCUCCGGUGGCGACACCUCCUGCUGCGCUGGCCCUCCUCCAAGGUCUCCUCUCAUAGACCACUUCACCCGGCUAUCUGUUGAUGGUAGUCUUCUACCAGCAGCGACGGUCCUUAGGUUUCUACUAGCUUUGGUUCAUGGUUGCAGCGAUCAGUACAUACAAGGAUUUUGCUGUCUUUCCAGGAACUAACUGAAUUGGAUAAUUUGCCUAGUCUGGGGCAAUGUAACUUUUUCAUGGAAAUUGAGGACGUUAACGUCUUCUAGAAGAAAAAAGAAGAUCAAACUCCAGAUUCUUGACUGCACUUUGCUUGAUUUAUGCAUGAGGCUGUCUGCUCUUUGAUUGAUCUAUUCUGCUCCUUCAGAUAAUCAUUUCAUGCUCUUCUUAUUCAGUACCCACUGUUUCCUCAAAUGUAGUCGUAUUUGUUUUCACUCUCCCGCAGAUUUCUUAUGCGUUAAUUCUUUAGCUACUCCUACAAAACAAAGCUGCUUCAGAUGCACUCCCAGGUGUCCUGAAGAAUAUUGACGAGCGAGCACCUCGUGGGCAGGCCCUUGGUUUAAUUGCAAGUAGCUUGUACCCCUUGAUUUGUCAGCAUUCUUCAGAGGUCCCUGAGAUUAUGCUCAUGGUUAGGCCCUUUGGUUUUGUUGACAUUUACUAUCUGUAGUCCAAGAACACAUAUUUCAGAGUUCCCUGAGAUUAUGGGCAAAGCCGCAAACAAACCAGUUUGAUACAUGAGUCUGUAUCAUACGCCUGCCGGGUCCUGUGGCUGACAAAUGUGCCUUUGCUCUUUGAGUUCAUCCGCCCCCAUCAGAUCGCCGUCCGGAUUAAUUCACGGUGCAGGCUGGCUCGUCUGCUGGCUGCUGCUUUCCUUUUGUCACAGGUAUGUUCAGCCUGUGUGACUUCCAUGAAGUACUGUUCAGUUCCACAGCUUGAUCAGUGUGCUCCUACCAUUGUUCCAACUUUUUAAUUCCAGUAAUACCAAACAGAUCUGACAAAAUACUUUUGAUUGUUUUUGUGCCUGCUUGAUUUGGUAGAAAGACAGGCUAUAGACGAAACCUAACCGCUAUGUGAGGUAUGGGAGAGAGGCGUUCUGGAGGUCAUCAUAAAACCCAUCUAGGGUUCCCUCCCCCUCACGGGUAACGCCGCCAGUCCGCUUUGCCUCGGUGGCCUUUGGGCCUUGGAGGUGUGGCGGACCACGGCUCCUCGCCCGCG
Lolium perenne is the source of this 2303-nucleotide non-coding RNA. The record is from RefSeq and is a predicted model, not a curated record. Lineage: Eukaryota; Viridiplantae; Streptophyta; Magnoliopsida; Poales; Poaceae.